UACGUAGGAUGCAAGCGUUAUCCGGAUUUAUUGGGCGUAAAGAGCGUGUAGGUGGUUCUUCAAGUCGAGUGUGAAAUCUCUUAGCUUAACUGAGAGUGGUCAUUCGAUACUAAGGGACUUGAGGGCAGCAAGGGAAAGCGGAAUUCCCGGUGUAGCGGUGAAACGCGUAGAUAUCGGGAGGAACACCCGUGGCGAAGGCGGCUUUCUGGGCUGCAUCUGACGCUGAGACGCGAAAGUGUGGGGAG
This 245-nucleotide ribosomal RNA is filed under the name uncultured bacterium. Its description in RNAcentral is "partial 16S ribosomal RNA". It matches the Rfam family "Bacterial small subunit ribosomal RNA", at positions 524 to 768 of the family's 1533-position model. The record is from RNAcentral.